This 12629-nucleotide long non-coding RNA is filed under the name Lynx pardinus (Iberian lynx). Lineage: Eukaryota; Metazoa; Chordata; Mammalia; Carnivora; Felidae. The record is from RNAcentral.
AGCUUCACAUGUGAGAUAAAUGCACUCAGAGACUCCUCACAAGUAGCUCUUUGGAGCUUCAGAUGUGAAAUGGAUCAUUCCUCAAUCUGUAAUAGACCCUUCUGUGAAGCUCUUCAAUCAAACCUGAGAAUUCAAGGUGAAAUGGAGGGGAGACCGGGAAACCCCUACAGGGGGAUUUGAGCAAACUUGCUGAGAAAGGAACCCGGCGGUGUUCGCUGCCUCUUUUUUUUUUUCAGUUUUUUUUCUUGAGAGUGGGAAGGCUGUCAAUCAAUUUGUGACCUUACCCACUGCUUGUGUGCAAUACCUGGGCACAAGGAGACAAGCUGUGGAGGUGCUUGGAUAGGUGCUGUCACAUACACCUUUGAUUUCUUUCCACCUGUCCUUUUUCUCUGACAGUAUUCAGAUUAUUUUUAAAGCGGCUAUUUGAUACAGAUUUAUUACACAGAGUUUCUCUUUCCCCAAAAUUAUUUAUAUCAUUAUAUUUGAGAGGGUGAAAAUUUUCUUGUGAGAACAGCAUUCGUAAUCUUUUUUAAAAAGUUAGUGAUGUAUAAUAACCAGUUUAGUUGGAAAGAAUUGUCAUAGUUUGUGAAGUAGUAGUCCUGGUAAGUGCAUCUUAUUUAGGAAUCGCGUUUGCAGAUCAUGUAAUGACUUUUAAUUAGUUUCUUGCCAGUAAAGCAGUAAGACAAGAGUCACCCCUAGUAAGGAAAACAGCAUCUUCUGAAAUGAGUUUUUGUGCCACAUUUAAAAAAAUGUAUUUGGGGGCACAUUUGCAGUUGGACAUUUCUAGGUUAAUUAAAAACAAAACAAAACAAAACAAAAAAAAACAAAAAAAACAACCUUGAAGAAUUUUCAACGGGGAGCAGGGAGUCCUGACACCAAACUUAGAAAAACUAUGCUUUGGAAUUUAUGUUCAAAUACAGAAUAUGUUUGAUAACAGUUUCUGAUGCUCAAGCUGCUAGGAAAUGAUUGCUAUCCCCUCACUGUAUCAGAGUUUUCCUAAGCCAUCGAGACGGUGUUGUUUGUAAAGCUUGCAUAUUAGUAUAAUCUUAAGAGCAUAUUAAUUGCCCGGGAGGUUUAUGUAUUUGUUCUGCACAUGUGAUUAAAGAUCACGGCAGCUUAUACAGCAUAAUUUUAGAGAUGGAGAAAACGACUAUUGUAAUACUUGCUACUCUCAGUUUCCUCUACAGCAAUGCCCUUACACCUUUCUUUUUCAGGCGUUUUGUAGCAUCCUAAACAGAAGGAUAUUGAAGGGAGCUGAUUCUGCUUUGAUCCUUGUGCUUGUUGUCAAAGCGCUUGGGAUUGAAGAGACUGUUGGCUACAAUUGACUGUGACAAUUAGGAGAUGAUCAGAGCCCUAGAGUGGAGCACUUAAAGGGUAAUUUACAUGUCAGUUUGUCGAAUAAAAAAAAAAAGAUAUUCAGCUAAGAUUUUUUUUUUUUCCCCUCAGAGCCUUGUAAACUGCAAUUUGUGCUCUGGUAAGAAAAACCUGGCAGAGGAGUUAGGAUAGCCAUUACCAUUUGAAAAGAAGCAAUCAUAAGGCCGCUGCUGAGCCCUUUGUCCACUAAAAAUGCUGAUUUGCAGGCAGUGAGUGAAAAAGUGGAACCAUCACUAAAUAAAACCUUGAGCUAGGUAACUACCCCCAUGGCUUUUGGGGGCUUUUAUUGUUGGUUAAAGGUGUUUUUAAAAAACGUAUCUUAAAUCCUAUACUUAUGAUCAUUAUAACAUUGUUAUUGGUCAUGAAUGUCCUUUCCUAAAAAAAUAACAUAAAGGAUACAUUGAGGAAGUGGUAGGUGGAACACAGGCCAACAGUGAAUUGAAAGGCUGAUGCUGGCUAUCGGUUGUAUCUGACUCUCACCCCUUUGUACAGCACCACGAUUUUCCUCCAGUCAAUCCUUUACACUCUAUUUUCCCCCUGCCGUAUCAGUGUGCUCCUAGAUUUUCCCAGUUUUAUUUAUACUCCAAUUUUAAUGUGGGAACUGCAUUUCUAACCAUCACAUAGUUAGCCUAUUUGGGUGUACUUGGCUGAAAAUACAAUGUACUUUCACUCGUGAUUUGCUAUUUAUGUGGUCAUCUCUACACUCUUCUGUUAGGUAAUCCAUAUGCACAAGUAAAAAAGAAAUAGCUACAAAGUGAAAAGAGUAUAAUUGCCACUAAAUAUGAUGAUAGCAAUUACACAUCACCCAUUUAAUUGUCAAAUAAGAAAAAUUAGUUAUUUCAAAAAUUUUUGAGUCUUCCCCCUUCCCUGGAAAUCAUUAAUAAGAAUAAUAGUAAUAAUAAUUAAUGGUCACAUGUAAUUGCAAAAGUUUCAUUUGGAAAGUUAUCUAAAAAAGAAGUUAAUGUGCUCGAGCGUCUGGGUGGCUCGGUUGAGCGUCUCUUGAUCCAGGGUCAUGAUCAGGUCAUGAUCCCAGGGUCAUGGGAUCAAGUCCCACAUUGGGGUCUGCACUGAGAGUGAAACCUUGAGAUUCUCCGUCUCUCUCUCUCUCUCUCUCUCUCUCUCUCUCCCUCUGUCCCCUGCCCUGCUUCUGCUCUCUCUCUCUCUCUCUCUCUUUCUCAAAAUUAAAAAAAAAAAGAAUUUCUAAAAAAAAAAUUAAAAAGAAGUUAAUAUAUCAACCCAACCAUCCUGUGCAGACUUUCUCAAAUUUGGUGUGUGUAUUUAAUUCAGAGAUACACAUUAACUUUCAAUNUCAUGGGAUCAAGUCCCACAUUGGGGUCUGCACUGAGAGUGAAACCUUGAGAUUCUCCGUCUCUCUCUCUCUCUCUCUCUCUCUCUCUCUCCCUCUGUCCCCUGCCCUGCUUCUGCUCUCUCUCUCUCUCUCUCUUUCUCAAAAUUAAAAAAAAAAAGAAUUUCUAAAAAAAAAAUUAAAAAGAAGUUAAUAUAUCAACCCAACCAUCCUGUGCAGACUUUCUCAAAUUUGGUGUGUGUAUUUAAUUCAGAGAUACACAUUAACUUUCAAUGGCAGAUACAUUUUAUAUUCCAUUUUUUGGAUACUUAGCUACGGUGAAGGGCAUUUGAAGAAAGGCAGCCGGUUAGAAAUGAGUUUGUCUUUCUCCUGAAACAUCAGGCUUUAUUCUGAGAGCUAACGGCACACAUGGCCUUCAAAAGCCAAACUUUCCAACAGCCUACUGAUGUUGGCUUAACGUCCUUCAUCUGGACACUCAUGUCCGGUUUUAAGGCUAUCCUGUCAUUAAAGACACUCAUGUCUCCAAAUAAGAGGGCUUCAUUUCUCUUCAUUUAGGUCUGAGACCUUAACAAGAAUUUUUUUUCCCCCUAAGGGAUGCCUUACAAAAGGACUGGCGUUCUACUUGCGGAGGUUUCUGAAAAUCACAAAAGUCAGUGUGGAACUGAUUGAGAGAAGUCAGUAAUUCAUACACAGACACUGGCGCCUCCUCUGACUGCUUUACUGGAAGUCCCUGAACUUCUUAUCCAGUUGUUUUAACUCUACUUUUCCUUGUGUGCAUGCCCCCCUUGCAAAGAAGAACACACAAGCAAGGAAAAACUAAGAAUGAAUAGAUUAGUAAGUGCAAAGAGGAUAAUGAGAGAGGGAGUCAGGGAAGGUUUGGGCUUCCUUUGCCUGUGUCUGCGGAAUGCAGGCAAUGGUAAAUCUGUAUCAAAAAUCAGGCACAGCAGGAGGUGUUCGUCUCCCAGGUAAUGGGUAAAUGAUGAGCAGAUGAGCCGUCCUUGUAUCGAUUUAAGCAUUUUGUUCCAGCCAGUCACAAUUAACUUUGAUUUGUUUUUACUUUCCUCUUAUAGGUUUGCAUUUAAAACGCUCUUGGAGCACUAAUUGUAUGAAAUUCUGGUAGCUGCACAUUCUCUUUUUGGAGAGGUAAUGAGUGAAUGAAUGAAAAGGCAGGGAUCAUUUGCCAUUCUAAGAGCGGGGAUUGUCAGACUAUUUCUACUUGACUGAAAUUGUUUUGGAAGGUGAGCUGGAACAAGAAUCUUGCAACUAAAAUGACGUGACUCUGCAUGUGGUUUUGGGAUGUUUCUCUUCUCUGCAAAGCUGUUCUGGGACUUGGAAGUUGACUUAGAUUUUAUUUAUAAGGUGAAUCCUGUGAAAACAUUUUAAAGUACGCAUCUUUGAGUCUUAACAAGUAGGCGGGAGUCUUUGGAAAGCUCAUUUGGAAUUAUUUGAAAAGACUUUUCCUGUUACUAUCACAGUGUUUUUUCAAUACACAGAUUGCCAGGUUGUGACAAAAUAAAUUAUUGAAAGCUUUGAAAAGUUUUUAGAAAUGUGCCCAAGGAAACAAUAUGCAAAUCGUUAGAGUUAAUUCACAUGUCAAUUUAUUGAAAUGUUGCUACUACUGAGGAGUCCAAGAACCUUUAGCACAACAUUCCAGAACAUUUACAGUCUUGUUUUAAUGAGUAGCUCUUUCUUUGUACUUGUUUGGACGAAGCAAUAGAGUUGCCAGAUAGAGCAAAUAAAAAUAAAGAAUUCCUAGUUAAAUUUGAAUUUCUGAUAAAUAAUGAAUAUUUUUUCAGAUGAGUUGUGUCCCAUGCAAUGUUCCCAUUUUAUCAGGGAGCCCUAGGUGGCACUCUGAUUGGAUAGAAAUUGCAACCAUGCAUUGAAUGGACAAUCUAAUUAUUUAUAAAUUAUAAAUUGUCACUUAUAAAUCAUUUUACCUUUCACUGUCAGAUUAGAUAGGCCAACGAGCUUGCCCCUUUCAAACAGAAACCAAAAGGCUUUUUAACUCAUUAAUGCUGAGUUUAAUUUUCUCCAUCACAUUCCCUGCACAAGCUGUGACUCGUCAUUUCAAGUAUAUAGUAAUUUCUGCCUGACUAACACAAUGGAGACUUCAGAGGACGUGGCUGAGGAGUCUGGCUUAGCCACAUUGGUCAGGCUUUGACUGGAGUGUUUCCUGGUUACGGGGCUAGAGAAUGGAUGAUGCAGUGAGAAUAUCUUAUCUUUGAGCAGCCACAUCUUUCCUUUUGUGGCAAUAGUAUGACUACAUAGGUAACCAAGUUUGGGAUUCCUGUGACUCUGAUCCUAGUAGCAUCUUCUGGGAAAGGAAGGAUUCUGUAUCCUUGAACUGUUAUUUUAUUGUAUUUAACUUGAUUUGCUAUAAUCUGGUUGCCAUGGAAGAAGCUAAGCUAGGGGUGCCUGGGUGGCGCAGUCAGUUAAGCAUCCAACUCUUGGUUUUGGCUCAGGUCAUGAUCUCAGGGUUCAUGAGAUGGAGCCCAUCAUCGGGCUCUGUGCUGGAGCCUGCUUGGGUUGUCCCUCCCUCCCUCUCUCUCUGUCAAAAAAAUAUAUAUAAACUUAAAUUUUAAUGUUUAUUUAUUCUUGAGAGGGAGAGAGACAAGCAGGGGAGGGGCAGAGAGAGAGGGAGGCACAGAAUUGGAAGCAGGCUCCAGGCUAUGAGCUGUCAGCACAGAGCCCGACGCUGGGCUUCAACCCACAAACCACGAGAUCGUGACCUGAGCCGAAGUCGGAUGCUUAACCGACUGAGCCACCCAGGCGCCCCUAAAUAUGUAAACUUUUAAAACAAAAUAGGAAAGAAGCUAAGCUAGAACUGAGAGAAAAUCAUAUAUCUGCUUUCUCUUUGAACCCAGCAUUCAAUUCUGUCACAGUUUGAGCUGUUAUAACAAAGUAUCAUAGACUGUGUGGUUUAUAAACAAUAGACAUUUAUUUCUCACAGUUCUGGAGGCUGGAAGUUUCAGGUCAGAGUGUGGACACGCCAGGCCAUAAGGAGAGCCCUCUUCCACAUUUGCAGGUGUCCAUCUCUGUGUGGCCUCAGACAGUGAAGGGCAGGAACUCUGAUCUCUUUAGUCCCUGAUAAGGGCACUAAUCUCACUGCAGACACUCCACCCUCAUGACCUUACUGUCAUGUUCCAGAGGUCCCACCUCCCCAUACCAUCACAUUAAAGGUCAGGAUUUCAACAAAUGGAUUUUGGGGGGAUGCAGACAUUCAGUCUGUAAUAAUUUUUCACUGUCUUGAUGCUUUUCAUGGUCUGUCAGUAAGACUAUUUGUGGGGCGCCUGGGUGGCUUGGUCAGUUAAGUGUCUGACUCUUGAUUUUGGCUCAGGUCAUGGUCUCAUGGUUUGUGACAUCGAGCCCCAUGUUGGGCUCUGCACUGACAGCGUGGAGCCUGCUUGGGUCUCUCUCUCUCUCUUUCUCUCUCUCUCUGCCCCUCUGUAGCUCACACUCUCUCUCUUUCUCAAAAUAAAUGAAUAAAGUGUUUGUUUUUUUUUUUUAAAGAAAGACUAUUUGUGCAGAAAAGUUUGCAGUCCUGUCUCUCAUCCUCUAAGCCCUCUUUGAUUUCAGUUGUAGCUUCGGUGGAUAUUUCCUCCUAAGUGCAGUCCUCCAGAACAUUGUUGGAGUCUUCCUAAUUUCUGCCUCAGAGUCUCUUCCAGAACUGCAGAAGCCUGCUCAAUGCUUCUUCAAGUUUAGCAUGGAAAUGCGUGGGAGAGUUAACACCCUCAAGGGCAGCCCAAACUGGGGGGGAGACAGGAGCCUGGGGAUCAAUGUUUCAGCCACCUACCUUUCAGACAAGGCAGUUCUGAGAAGCACUCGGCAUGGUCCUCAGAGGUGCUUUCUCCAACAGCAGGAAUCUUAGGUUCCCUUAUGGUACGUUGUUUGGAUUUUCCACCAACCCUACUUUAUUCUCUCCAUGCUCUCGAAUUCCUUGUCACAGGCUCUGUUUCAGGGCAACCCCAGCUCAGACACCCCUGAUGCUACCUCCUUCCCAGCACCAUGGCCCUCUCCUUGCUCUGGGUCUAGAUACUUUGCUUCCUUAGUUCCAUUAAGGUUUCCUUUUCUUAUUAUUAGAGGAAGACAGUUCUGCCACUGUCCCUUCUAUUAAAAUAGAGUCAUAUUGCAAUCACAUCAUGCAUAUUCACCUCACCCAAGGUCCAUUACAAUUAAAGUCACUUUUAAUUGAACACAUACCCCAUGUGAGGGCAUACGCUAAGGGACCCAUGAAUAUUGUUUCAUUUAGUCCUUAGCACAUCACCAAGAAAGAAUCAGUAUUUCUAUUUCACAGAUGAAGAAACUGAGGCUCAGAAAGACUAAGAGGUUUCUUUCUUUCUUUUUUUUAAUGUUUAUUUUUGAGAGAGAGAGAGAGCAUAGGCAGGGGAGGGGCAGAGAGAGAAGGAGACACAGAAUCCAAAGCAGGCUCGAACUUAUGAACGUGGGGCUCGAACUCACAAUCCAUGAGACUGUGACCUGAGCCGAAGUUGGACACACAACCGACUGAGCCACCCGGCUGCCCCGAGAGAUUUCUUUCAAGACCACAAAGCUAAUGGGUGGUAGAAUAAGCAUUAAGUUCUGACCUAUCUACCUCCAAAGCCCAUUUUUUAAAUCAUUGUCCUAUAGAGCUCACCAUAUAACACUCUUAGAAAUUAAAAUUUCCUUGCCAAAUACUAAUAAGAGCAGCUAAAGAGAUGACUGGAUAGGAGGGAGGGACAAGAAUUGGCUUGUACCAAAUAAGGCAAAUUAUUUUUAAAAAAGCUUCUGCUCUUUUGCUCAGGCCUGUGGUGCCAGAAAGGUGGGAAAGGGUAGUGGUCUUCAUACUUCUGGGAAGCUGUGUCACCACCGGUGAGAUUAGAAGUGGCAUGGUGAAUGGCACAAGAAAGCUCAUUUGGGCACAGCCCUGAAGGCGAAACCUUUUGGGGGUACUUCCCGUGCAAAGGGAAUUAUAUUAGAAAAUUGUACUGGAAAAACUAGGGGUUGAAGCCACACAGUCAAAUUCUGCCAUUAGAAAGUGUGUCAGGGUCCAGCUGAUCAAGAACAGGAAAAAAAAAUCACAGUCCUUUUCUUGAAUGAUGGUCGCUGGAGUUUUAUUGAGGAAAAUAGUGAAGUUCUGGUUGCUAGAUUUGGUCACAAAGGUCAUGGUGUUGGUGACAUUCCUGGAGUCUGCCUGAAGGUUGUUUCAUUCAUUCAUUCAUUCAUUCAUUCAUUCAUUCAUUUGAGAAAUAGAGCACAAGAGAGGCAGAGGAACAGAGGAAGAGAGGGGGUGAAUCUUCAGCAGACUUCAUGGUCAGCGUGGAACCCUAUGUGAGGCUCAAUCCCAUGACCCUGGGAUCAUGACCUGUCCCGACAUGAAGAGUCAGACACUCAACCAUCUGAGCCACCAAGGCACCUGUAAGGUUGUUCAAAUAGUCAAUCUCUCUCUUUUGCCUGUAUAUGAAACAAGAAGGAAAGACCAAGAUCUUAAAUUUGGUUCAUGAAAUAUGGCAGUAAUAAAUAUUCAUAUGCCAACAGAAAGCAAAAAAGCCUCCUUUAUCAACUUAUGACUGAACAAUAAUUUGGAGUAUUGGUUUCUUCAUGAGACCUGGAGCUCCACUACUUUCUAUCUUUUCCAGCUCACAGUGCCUUACAUAUGGCAGGACUUGAUGAGUAUACACUGAAUGAAUGAAUUGUAGUAUUAUAGGAUAUAGUUUAAAGUGACUUCAGACAGCUCCAAUUUUUAGUCAUCUGCUUUACUAAACAAUGGACUUUAGCAUCUUUUAAGAUUUGUUACCUGAAAAAAGUAAAAGUUCCAACAGUGUCAUAUAAUUUAAGACAGUGUCUAGAAUAAUGUAAUAACAUGGUUCUCAAUGAAAUAUGGUGACUUCAGGUAAUUUAAGACUAUUGGAGGCAAAGGGAAAGGGAAAGAUUUCAUCUGAUGUUACAAUAUGCACAUGAUUAGAAAGGUCUGGGUGUGCUAGAUUGCAAAGGUCAAGUGAAGCCUCUGUGGAGACAGGGAGAGGCUACUCAGAACAGCCUGGAGAAGAUCUGUUCUCCACUUAGAAAAGAAUGAAAGGGUUACUAGCCCUUCUUUACAACUUAGCUUGGGGGAAAUGGUUCCUCUGUCUGACUGUCUCAAUCUUCUCAAAGUUAACAUAUUUCAUAACUAUUAUAAUUUUGACCUCCUUAUGAACUGACUACAUGUUGGGAUCAAUUCUAUAAACCUAUCAUCUUUAUCCCAUUGCAUCCAUUGAUGUAGAGGUGGGGGUUUACCCAUACAAAUCUUCCCAACUUUUUAGUGGUAGAACAUCACAUUCUGUGACAGGAUGCAACUAUGUGACAGUUUCUAAAGACUUCAUGAGGUUGUUUAGAACAAUAAAAGAGAUGUGUAUGUGCAAUUUCUAUUUGUGCUUGUUGGUUAGUUUCUUGUGGCAACUAUAGUACCGGUAGGCCCUCAAGUGUGAAAGCAGAAAGUACCACAAUCUCAGGGCCAUCAUCACUGGCAGCAUUACCUACACCAAGAAAAUAAUAUCAGAUGUACUGGAUCAUUCCAUGGUUACUAAUGGAAACUACGUAACAAGAAAAAGUCGGUUUUGUCUAUUGGAUGGCAGACGAUAAAAGAGGAGUCUAGUGUUCUGGCACUCAACAUACUGGAUGAAACUACUUUCACACAGAUUCCAUAGAAACUAAAGGAACCUCUCAGUAUGGGUAUAAUGUCUAAAAUUCUACUCGAAGGAUUUUUUUUUUUAAAGUAAGCUCUAGGUGCAAGGUGGGGCUUGAACUCAUGACCCUGAGAUCACGUGUCGCAUGCUCUACUUUCAGAGCCAGCCAGGAGCCCCCAAAGGAUAUUUUUUUUAAGUUCUUCGUACAUGAGAACCAAACUUCUCCUUGCCUACAGAUUAUUUUGACUGGCUGAAUUUUAAUGGAUAACUUAAAAUGUAAGUAACAUAAAAGAAUAUGAUUAUUAUAUGUUUAGUUAUAUACCAGUUACUAUGUCUAAAUGCUAAUUAAGAUUAGGAUAUAUGAAUCAGUGCAGAUAAUAUGUGAAUAAACACGAACUACACAACCGACCCAGUUCGAAAAAUUAGACUCAUAUACACCUUUACAUAACUAAUGCUAACCGUGGGAACAGACUCCAUCCAGAAUAUUUCUAGACCAAAUUUAGGACAGUCCAGGGCAUCUUGUCUCAAAAUGCCUAAAACCGUAUCUGACAUUCAGUCUCCCUGUGUUUAAGUUGAUCUUUGGUUAAUAGCACCCAACCCACUUAAAGGUGUUGGAUAAAUACGAUGGAUGAUACAUAUGUGAAGUAAGCUAUUCAGUAUCGUUAUUAGGAAGACAUCUGUGAAUUUUAACUUUUACUGAUGGAAAAGUUUUCUCUGUACCAAUGCCUCCACGUUAUUUGAUUCAGAACUCUUUUUCAUCCUUGGGGUUUAAAGGUCUGAUGAACCCAAACCCUUUUCCAGCAAAAAGAAACAUAUUUUCUUCUCACACAUACGUUACGUAUAACUGCUGGCAGAGUUGGGACUACUACCGGAAGUUAGGGAUAGUGGUGACAAGCCAUGGAAAUCCACCAGCUACUAUUCAGACACCCAGACACCAAUGAGCACUUUGGGAAGUAGGCCAAGAUGCUUGUAGAAUAGCCAGGCUGUCCUCCUGUAAACGCUAGGACUCAGGAAGAUUGCUUCCACUUUCUUAAGUAGAGAUGACUUUACUUUGGAAUAUUGGCUGUUCUUUCUGUGUAGCAGAUAUCAAGAAGAAAACAGUGGACAGUAAUGAACUUCAAGUUUUAAAAAGCUGACCUUUUGACUACCAUGCAAGUCAGGUUUGACUUUGAUGUAGAAAAGCUCACUAGUUCUUCCUUAGACGAAUGAUGAGCAGCUUGGUUAGGAUUACAGAGUGUUUUGUCCCUGGAUCUCUCUGGUCUAGAGGCCAGACCAACAUACAGGGGCCCUGUAUUUAGCUGUUCUUUGGUUAACAGCACCCUUACAUAACUUCUGCUUGUCACCAGGGACAAGGGAUUAUAUUAUCCCAUAAUUAACUUAUAGACCAGUAGUAUAGUUAUCUUAGUGAGGUGCUGACUUUACAUCUAGGCAACAAUUUAGGCACUGGUAGAAUGUAGCUUAUUAAUUUUUAUAUUGUUAUACAAUUAUUCUCUAAGUGUGAUGAUAUCUGAACACCGUAUUAUUUUAUAAUAUACUUAAUAUAGUACUUAGAGAAUAGGUGACCAAUAACAUUAGUUCAUUCUAACUAAAUAUUACAAGAUUUGCAAACAGAAUGGUUUAGUAGAAUAAAGCAGGCCUCAGGAAAUCUGAUUUCCCAGCAAUCUAGUUAUGUGAACUAGAUUAGUUUUAUUACUUCUCACAUCUCCUUUCCCUAAUAUCUUAAAUAAAGAAAUAGAAACAAAUGAUCUCUUAUUUUUUCUGAGCUCUCUGUUCUAUGCAUUUGCCGAAAGUUGAUUAGGAACACAAUGACCUCAUAUAUACUCUAACUGGAAAGAUAUACUUUCAUUUUUCUUGACCAUUUCAAAGUUUAACAAGUUUUAUUUGGGAUGAGUACUAACAUUUUCUGUGGAACUCUAAGACUACCUUAAGUUUAUGAUUAAAACUUGUUUUUUUACGGAUAGGCAAGAAAUAAUUAAGAAUUUAUAAAUGUUUUGGCCUUGUUCACAUGUGUCAAAAAUCCAGCAAUAAAGAUGAAGGCUUGCUUCAUUUAGAGAAGGGUACACAGGCUUUUGUUAGUUUCAGGAUGAUAACAAGGGGCAGAAUCAUAGAAUGUAGAACUGUCGAUUUAUGUUUGGUACACUGCCAGAAACUACAGGGUCGAAAGAACAUGUCGACUUAUGUAGAUUCUCAAGAUUUUGUUAUCUAGUCUCAGGCUGUAUGACCGUUUGCUGUGACUCAGAGUCUAUUUCUAAUUCUUAAUCUCGGACUGAUACUUAGAAUAAAAAAUAUGAUUGAUUAAAGGCUAGCUGUGAAAUUCAGUAGGUUAGGAAGACAGAUGGCAAGAAAGGUAAAACAUCAAGAAAAGUUAAUUUGUCUGACCAAAAGUAAGAAACAAAUUUAGUGUCGCGUAUUAUUUGAAACACUUGAAACACAUACUCAUUCAUCAAGUCUGAAAAUGUGUUCAGAAUUUGCUGUUUUAAAAGAUUAUUAACUUUUAUAUUUCAGAUCCAUAGCUUCCUUAUUGUUGUAUAAUUGCUGUAUCUUUGAGGUGGGUCACUUUGUCACUAUUUCACACUUGGGAUGGCAAGUUUCAAUAUUAUUGAUGGUCUCAGUAAGUUAAGAUUUGACUAUUCUGAUAGCUUUUAUCGAGCAAAGUUUGCAGUGUUACUAAUAAUGUUUUUCAACACUUAAAUGCUUUAGGUUCUCUUCUUACAAACCCAUAUCCCAUACAUAUUGUGCCUUUCCAUGUCAUUAUGGUUGAUAUUUGUCACUAGGAACUACUCAUCAUUAUAAUGUGCCAAUAAUAAGGCAAUAAAUAGUAUUUCUUUAAAGAAAAGAAAUUUAAGUUUUAUUUAUUUAUUUUGGGAAAGAGACAGUGCAAGCAGGGGAGGGGCAGAGAGAGAGAUUGAGAGAGAGAGAAUCCCAAGCAGACUCUGUGCUGCCAGGGCAGAGCCAGAUGUGGGGCUCACACCCACCAACCGUGAGUGAGAUCAUGACCUGAGCUGAAACCAACAGUAAGAUGCUCAACUGACUGAGCCACCCAGGCAGUAAACAGUAUUAACACCAUGCUAAGCAUUGUAAUUUCCAGAGUUACAAAUACCUAAGUGAUCUAAGGUGGGGCCAAAAGAAGGAAUAGAGGAGACAUUCUAGACUCUAGAUAGAAAACAUUCAAAAAUUGGUUUGAUAUCAAAUUUAGGGAGAAAAUAUGCCAAUUAAAAUGAAUUUUUUAGGAUUCAAUUCAGCACUUGUUACUUAAUAGCAUUUGUCAUUUUCCAAUUUUUUAUAUGUGGCAAAUUAAUUUCAAAUCA